RNAcentral lists this ribosomal RNA (5106 nucleotides) under Streptococcus pneumoniae. Its description in RNAcentral is "23S ribosomal RNA". The stretch from base 3358 to 5106 matches the Rfam family "Bacterial large subunit ribosomal RNA". Lineage: Bacteria; Bacillati; Bacillota; Bacilli; Lactobacillales; Streptococcaceae. The record is from RNAcentral.
GCAGGCUGCUCAAAACACUGUUUUGAGGUUGUGGAUGAAACUGACGAAGUCAGUAACCAUACAUACGGCAAGGCAAAGCUGAUGCGGUUUGAAGAGAUUUUCGAAGAGUAUUAGUUGCCUUUAAAGGCAUCCACCAUCGUUUGAAAUUCUUCAUUUGAGAGAGUAAUCCCUUUGCCCAUUUUAGUAUGGUCUGGACUCCAAGCACGAAUAUCAAACUUUGCAGGGGCACCAUUAAAGCUCACACGGUUAAUUUCCUUGGUCCAACCUUUUUCGUUUUCAGAAAGAGUCAACAAGUGCUCUUCGAUUUCAAAUGUAAAUUCUGCCAUUUUCUUCUCCUUUUUUAGUUUCAUUAGUUUAUUCGUAAAAUCUUGUAGAUUUUAGGAAAAUUUUAUAUAAUAUUGAUAUAAAAGAAGGGAGGCCAAUAUGAGACAUAAAUUCCAGCAAGUUCUAAAUAAAAUACAUGAUUUUUUAAAUGGAUAUGACCAACCUGACCAGACUGAAACCAACUCCCUUACAGCCACUAUUGAAGAGGCUAUCCAGAAACAAACCGCUGUUCACCUUAUCUUAUCUGAGACAAGCUUUACAGGUGACAUCAUCAAAUAUGAUCAGCAAGGCCAGCAAAUUAUCGUGAAAAAUUUUUCCAAAAAUGUGAGCCGGAUUAUCCGUAUAAGCGAUAUUCAACGCCUGCGAUUUGUCCCCUCAACUGUCCAAACAGCCCAAAAAAAUAAAUUUAAGAAAGAGUGAGAUGUAGUUGCUUCAUCCCACUCUUUUUCUUAGCGAAUUUGUUCAAAAUGUAAAUGAACUGCGAUAUGAUCUCCAUAACCACUUCUUUCCAAGUCACGUUGUAAACGAUAGGAAAUAUAGUGUUCUGCAAUGGUAAUGUAACCUGCGCCCAAUAAACGAUGUUCAACCAUAGAUUGAAUCAUACUGAUAGUCGCACGUUCCACCUUGGCUUCUUGUAAAUCCAAAACUACCUUCUUAGUGACUUGAGCAAGAUUUUGACGCAAAUCAUCUGUCAAAACAUAAACAGUUUGGGCUGCCUUCAAGAUGGCUUGGUAAAUCUUAUCUGGAUUAAAUUCAGCAAUUUCGCCAUUACGUUUGAUUACUUGCAUAGGUUUCUCCUUUAUUCUUUGUUUUCUUUGAUUUCUGCCAGCAUUUUUUCUUCUUCUACUGUCAGUUGAUAAUGUUCAAGUAAAUCCGGUCUGCGCUCGUAGGUUUUCUUUAAACUCUCGUACAAUCGCCACUGACGAAUCUUUUCAUGAUGGCCACUCAUCAAUACAUCUGGCACGACCAUGCCUCGAUAAUCAUAGGGACGUGUGUACUGAGGAUAUUCUAAAAGACCUGAAGAAAAACUAUCAUCUUGGUGGCUAGACUCCUUGCCAAUCACUUCUGGAAUCAGGCGAACUGUAGCAUCAAUCAUGGUCAUAGCUGCCAAUUCUCCACCAGUGAGGACAUAGUCACCUAGGGAAAUCUCAUCUGUUACCAAGGUCUUAAUGCGCUCAUCAUAACCCUCAUAGUGCCCACAGAUAAAGAUUAGCUCUUCCUCUUGAGCCAAAUCUUCAGCAUAAGCCUGAUCAAACUGCUUUCCAGCAGGAUCAAGGAGAAUAACGCGCGGAUUUUUCUUUUCAAUAGCAUCAAAGGAAUCGAAAAUAGGUUGUGCUCUGAGCAACAUGCCCUGACCGCCUCCGUAGGGCUCAUCAUCUACAUGACGGGCCUUUUCAGCAUUUUCUCGAAAAUUAUGAUACUGGAUAUCCAAGAGCCCUUUUUCUCGAGCCUUUCCAACGAUUGAGUGCUCCAGUGGAGAAAACAUCUCUGGAAAGAGGGUUAAAAUAUCAAUCUUCAUCGUCUAACCCUUCUAAGAUUUCCACAUCGACCCGUUUACUUGGAAUAUCAACAUUGAGAACCACUGGUGGGAUAUAAGGUAAAAGCAAAUCACGUUUGCCUUUUCGUUUGACCACCCAGACAUCAUUAGCACCUGGUUGCAGGAUUUCCUUGAUGGUUCCAACCAAGCUAUCACCCUCAUAGACUUCCAAACCGAUAAUCUCGUGAUAGUAAAAUUCACCAUCGUCUAGGUCAUUCAAAUCUUCCUCAGCGACCUUGAGACUGUAUCCCUUGUACUUUUCGAUAGUAUUGAUAUGGUACAUAUCUUUGAAUUUAAUAAUGUCAAAGUUCUUCUGUUUACGGUGGCUAGCGAUGGUCACUGUUUGGACAAACUGAUCUUUUUCAUCAAACAAAGCCAGCUCAGCUCCUUUUUUAAACCGUUCUUCUGCAAAAUCCGUCACAGACAAGACUCGCAUCUCCCCCUGUAAUCCCUGCGUAUUAACGAUUUUCCCAACAUUAAAGUAGUUCAUCUUGUCUCCUGUAAUCUCCUUUUUUCCAUCUUAUUCUGACAAUUCUCGAAUAAUAGCCGCAAUUUUUUCCGAUUCUGACCAUUGUAAAUAAUGGUGAUUCCCUCCUAAAAUGAGUUUAGUAUUGGAAGUCCAAUAUUCUGAUUCUCUGUACUCUUUUUCUCUAUAAGUCUGACAAAAAAUAAAUACAGGAACAUGAGAUUCUAUCGACAAAUUCUCAAAAUCUUCCUCAGUAAUCUCUCCAGAUAUCUGAAAUUCUGGAUCUUGAUUUUCCAACUCUAAGCCUUUUUCUUGCAUUAAUUCCCAGAUUUUUUUAUUCGUUUCAGGACUAAAUGUUGCUUGAGUUAAGUUCUUAAAAUAAAGUUCAGGACCACACUCGUCAAUCAGUCUCAUCUGCUCUUCCAUUUCUGGAUAAGGAUUUUCUGAAAAAUCAGCAAACAUGACUUUUUUAGUUGUCGGUUCAAUUGCUACUAAAGUCUGACGCUUAAUUGGUUUCUCGAGUAAUUUGCAAGCUAAAAUUCCACUCCAACUAUGUGCACAAAGUAUAUAUUCAGAAAUUCCUAAUUCUUCAAGUACUUCAUAAACCGCAUCUGCAAGAUUAUCUAGUUUUUUUCCAGCUUGGUCAUGAAUCGGACUCCUACCUGUGUUCGGAAAAUCAAUUGUCAAAUAACCAAUUGUAGGAGGAGGUUUUUCAAGUAUAAGUGAAAAAUUUUCAUAACUUGGUAGCAAACCUGCUCCGUUUAGACAAACUAGCACUUUCUUUUGCUUUUGAUAAGUAACAGAGAGGCUACCAAUUUCUGUAGAUACUUCAAACCUCUUCAUAAAGAAAUCCACUGAUUCUAUAUAAUGAAUUAUUAAAAAUCCUUAUCCUUUAUUUUAUCACGUUCCAAGGAUUUUCUCAAGUUGGAGGAAGGGGACAACAUCUCUACUUUCCCUUCAAGAAUCCUUCCAAAUUAUGUUUAUGUUGGUAAUUAACGGCUGCGGUUUUGUCUUUCUCAAAGACAGUCUUGGUAAGGUCAAUAUGAUUAAUAGCUACGAUUGCGACGGUGUAGUAAAUGAUAUCAGCCAGUUCUCUGGCAAGUUCCUCGUUCGAAUCCUAUCCCUUCUUUUCGACCAGAGCGCCUAUUCAAAACCUCGGCUACUUCUCCGACUUCCUCCACUAACUUCAUAAAGAGACCUUCAUCAGUCCGAGACUGCUGUUAAUGUUCGAUUAAGUAGUCUUGGAAUUGCCUAAACGUUCAAUCUUUUAUAGUAUAUUGAAACUAGAAUAGUACACCUUUACUUCUAAAACAUUGUUAGAAAUCGAUUUGACUGUCCUGAUCGAUUUGUCCUGUUCUUGUUUCAUUUUACUAUAUNAGUGAGGUGUGAUAUGAGUCAAAUGCUUAUAUCUGUAACAUUGAGCUGUGAUGGGGAGCGAAGUUUAGUAGCGAAGUUAGUGACGUCACACUGCCAAGAAAAGCUUCUAGCGUUUAAACAUACUCUACCCGUACCGCAAACCGACACAGGUAGUCGAGGCGAGUAGCCUCAGGUGAGCGAGAGAACUCUCGUUAAGGAACUCGGCAAAAUGACCCCGUAACUUCGGGAGAAGGGGUGCUGACUUUAAGUCAGCCGCAGUGAAUAGGCCCAAGCAACUGUUUAUCAAAAACACAGCUCUCUGCUAAAUCGUAAGAUGAUGUAUAGGGGGUGACGCCUGCCCGGUGCUGGAAGGUUAAGAGGAGUGCUUAGCGUAAGCGAAGGUAUGAAUUGAAGCCCCAGUAAACGGCGGCCGUAACUAUAACGGUCCUAAGGUAGCGAAAUUCCUUGUCGGGUAAGUUCCGACCCGCACGAAAGGCGUAAUGAUUUGGGCACUGUCUCAACGAGAGACUCGGUGAAAUUUUAGUACCUGUGAAGAUGCAGGUUACCCGCGACAGGACGGAAAGACCCCAUGGAGCUUUACUGCAGUUUGAUAUUGAGUGUCUGUACCACAUGUACAGGAUAGGUAGGAGUCUAAGAGAUCGGGACGCCAGUUUCGAAGGAGACGCUGUUGGGAUACUACCCUUGUGUUAUGGCCACUCUAACCCAGAUAGGUGAUCCCUAUCGGAGACAGUGUCUGACGGGCAGUUUGACUGGGGCGGUCGCCUCCUAAAAGGUAACGGAGGCGCCCAAAGGUUCCCUCAGAAUGGUUGGAAAUCAUUCGCAGAGUGUAAAGGUAUAAGGGAGCUUGACUGCGAGAGCUACAACUCGAGCAGGGACGAAAGUCGGGCUUAGUGAUCCGGUGGUUCCGUAUGGAAGGGCCAUCGCUCAACGGAUAAAAGCUACCCUGGGGAUAACAGGCUUAUCUCCCCCAAGAGUUCACAUCGACGGGGAGGUUUGGCACCUCGAUGUCGGCUCGUCGCAUCCUGGGGCUGUAGUCGGUCCCAAGGGUUGGGCUGUUCGCCCAUUAAAGCGGCACGCGAGCUGGGUUCAGAACGUCGUGAGACAGUUCGGUCCCUAUCCGUCGCGGGCGUAGGAAAUUUGAGAGGAUCUGCUCCUAGUACGAGAGGACCAGAGUGGACUUACCGCUGGUGUACCAGUUGUCUUGCCAAAGGCAUCGCUGGGUAGCUAUGUAGGGAAGGGAUAAACGCUGAAAGCAUCUAAGUGUGAAACCCACCUCAAGAUGAGAUUUCCCAUGAUUAUAUAUCAGUAAGAGCCCUGAGAGAUGAUCAGGUAGAUAGGUUAGAAGUGGAAGUGUGGCGACACAUGUAGCGGACUAAUACUAAUAGCUCGAGGACUUAUCCAA